GCCUAGGAAUCUGCCUGGUAGUGGGGGAUAACGUUCGGAAACGGACGCUAAUACCGCAUACGUCCUACGGGAGAAAGCAGGGGACCUUCGGGCCUUGCGCUAUCAGAUGAGCCUAGGUCGGAUUAGCUAGUUGGUGAGGUAAUGGCUCACCAAGGCGACGAUCCGUAACUGGUCUGAGAGGAUGAUCAGUCACACUGGAACUGAGACACGGUCCAGACUCCUACGGGAGGCAGCAGUGGGGAAUAUUGGACAAUGGGCGAAAGCCUGAUCCAGCCAUGCCGCGUGUGUGAAGAAGGUCUUCGGAUUGUAAAGCACUUUAAGUUGGGAGGAAGGGCAGUAAAUUAAUACUUUGCUGUUUUGACGUUACCGACAGAAUAAGCACCGGCUAACUCUGUGCCAGCAGCCGCGGUAAUACAGAGGGUGCAAGCGUUAAUCGGAAUUACUGGGCGUAAAGCGCGCGUAGGUGGUUUGUUAAGUUGGAUGUGAAAUCCCCGGGCUCAACCUGGGAACUGCAUUCAAAACUGACUGACUAGAGUAUGGUAGAGGGUGGUGGAAUUUCCUGUGUAGCGGUGAAAUGCGUAGAUAUAGGAAGGAACACCAGUGGCGAAGGCGACCACCUGGACUAAUACUGACACUGAGGUGCGAAAGCGUGGGGGAGCAAACAGGAUUAGAUACCCUGGUAGUCCACGCCGUAAACGAUGUCAACUAGCCGUUGGAAGCCUUGAGCUUUUAGUGGC
RNAcentral lists this ribosomal RNA (737 nucleotides) under Pseudomonas sp. R2(2016). RNAcentral describes it as "bacterial SSU rRNA". It matches the Rfam family "Bacterial small subunit ribosomal RNA", at positions 115 to 847 of the family's 1533-position model. The record is from RNAcentral. Lineage: Bacteria; Pseudomonadati; Pseudomonadota; Gammaproteobacteria; Pseudomonadales; Pseudomonadaceae.